CCUACGGGUGGCAGCAGUGAGGAAUAUUGGUCAAUGGGCGUGAGCCUGAACCAGCCAAGUCGCGUGAGGGAAGAAGGCACAGUGUAUCGUAAACCUCUUUUGUCAGGGAACAAUUGCGGGUACUAGUCCCCGUAUGAGGGUACCUGGAGAAAAAGCAUCGGCGAACUCCGUGCCAGCAGCCGCGGUAAUACGGAGGAUGCGAGCGUUAUACGGAUUUAUUGGGUUUAAAGGGUUCGCAGGCGGACUGUUAAGUCAGCGGUAAAAGCCCGGGGCGCAAACCCGGCGAGCCGUUGAAACUGGCGGGCUGGAGUUGGAGAGAAGUACGCGGAAUGCGCGGUGUAGCGGUGAAAUGCUUAGAUAUCGCGCAGAACCCCGAUUGCGAAGGCAGCGUACCGGCUCCAAACUGACGCUGAGGCACGAAAGCGUGGGUAUCGAACAGGAUUAGAUACCCUUGUAGUC
RNAcentral lists this ribosomal RNA (459 nucleotides) under uncultured bacterium. RNAcentral's name for it is "partial 16S ribosomal RNA". It matches the Rfam family "Bacterial small subunit ribosomal RNA", at positions 338 to 795 of the family's 1533-position model. The record is from RNAcentral.